This 366-nucleotide ribosomal RNA is filed under the name uncultured bacterium. Its description in RNAcentral is "partial 16S ribosomal RNA". It matches the Rfam family "Bacterial small subunit ribosomal RNA", at positions 338 to 701 of the family's 1533-position model. The record is from RNAcentral.
CCUACGGGUGGCAGCAGUGAGGAAUAUUGGGCAAUGGACGAGAGUCUGAACCAGCCAAGUAGCGUGAAGGAUGACGGCCCUAUGGGUUGUAAACUUCUUUUAUAAAGGAAUAAAACGAGGCACGUGUGCCUGUUUGCAUGUACGGUAUGAAUAAGGAUCGGCUAACUCCGUGCCAGCAGCCGCGGUAAUACGGAGGAUCCGAGCGUUAUCCGGAUUUAUUGGGUUUAAAGGGAGCGUAGAGGGGUUGUUAAGUCAGUUGUGAAAGUUUGCGGCUCAACCGUAAAAUUGCAAUUGAUACUGGCAGUCUUGCGUACAGUUGCGGUAGGCGGAAUUCGUGGUGUAGCGGUGACAUGCUUAGCUUUCACG